UCAGGACGAACGCUGGCGGCGUGCUUAACACAUGCAAGUCGAACGGGGAUUAAGUUGGAAAGGCUUCGGCCCGGAAGACAUAAUUCGAGUGGCGGACGGGUGAGUAACGCGUGAGCAACCUGUCCCAGACAGGGGGAUAACACUUGGAAACAGGUGCUAAUACCGCAUAAGACCACGGCAUCACAUGGUGCAGAGGUAAAAGGAGCAAUCCGGUUUGGGGUGGGCUCGCGUCCGAUUAGAUAGUUGGUGAGGUAACGGCCCACCAAGUCAACGAUCGGUAGCCGACCUGAGAGGGUGAUCGGCCACAUUGGAACUGAGAGACGGUCCAAACUCCUACGGGAGGCAGCAGUGGGGAAUAUUGGGCAAUGGGCGAAAGCCCUGACCCAGCAACGGGCCGCGUGAGUGAAGAAGGCCUUCGGGUUGUAAAGCUCUGUUAUGUGGGACGAAGGAAGUGACGGUACCACAUAAGGAAGCCCCGGCUAACUACGUGCCAGCCGCCGC
Molecule: ribosomal RNA, 501 nt
Filed under: uncultured bacterium
Lineage: Bacteria
Description: bacterial SSU rRNA
Rfam family: Bacterial small subunit ribosomal RNA
Source: RNAcentral